This 125-nucleotide microRNA precursor is filed under the name Brassica napus (rape). RNAcentral describes it as "MIR9563 microRNA precursor family". It matches the Rfam family "MIR9563 microRNA precursor family". Lineage: Eukaryota; Viridiplantae; Streptophyta; Magnoliopsida; Brassicales; Brassicaceae. The record is from Rfam by way of RNAcentral.
AGAAUAUAAAAAUCCAUGUUUUAACUUUUAACUAAAAAAUUUAAGAACCGGCUCUUAAAACUUUUAUUUAAAAACCGGUUUUUAGUUUUUUUAGUUAAAAGUUAAGAGACGGGUUCUUAUAUUCC